CAGUUAAAGCGGAGGAAAAGAAACUAACAAGGAUUUCCAUGGUAACUGCGAGUGACCUGGAAUUAGCCCAACACUGAAUCUUAUAUUCUUGCAAUAUUGAGAGUUGUAGUGUUUUGGUUGUGUUUUUGACGAUGGAUUUUACUUCAAAUUCGCUUGAUUGCGAUGUUGUCUAUAGAGGGUGUUAGGCCCGUUGAAGUGAAUGAAGUUGUUAUUAAUGCUUCCUAUGAGUCGGAUUGUUUGUGAAUGCAGUCCCAAUUAGGUGGUAGAUUCCAUCUAAGGCUAAAUACUUGUCUGAGUCCGAUAGUUAACAAGUACCGUGAGGGAAAGUUGAAAAGAACUUUGAAGAUAGAGUUAAAUAGUACGUGAAAUUGUUUAUAGGUAAUCGAGUAGAGCCGAAGGGGUGGUGUUUAGAAAUCAAUGUAGUUGAUGUAGGUGUAGUUAUUGGAAAUCCGUCAAAAGAUUCUGGUAAUUUUCUAUUUUUCAUUUUCUGCAUGCACUUUUUAUUCGUCACAUGUGAGACCGGUAUUUCUGUUUUUCUGUCGUAACGUUGAAGUUGAUCGGUAUUUUUUGUAUCGGUUUUAUAGCUUGUUGCAUAAGGAGAUGGUUUACUGAUAAAUGCGGGGCUAUGCGGAUGCUUGUUUUUGGUUUUUGAAACUUUGUAAACACGCCAGUGAUURUGAGGGGUCGAUUAUUGGAUUCAGGUGUUUGUUGGUCACGAGAGUCAUCACUGUAUAUGUAGGCAAUCUACUUGUCCCGUCUUGGACCAAGGAGUUUUAUUUGUUUGCGAGUCAAAGGGUCUUACGAAACCCCAGGGCGUAAUGAAAGUAUAGGUUUAUUUUAAUAAGCUUUAAUGUGAUCCUAUGACAACUCAUAGGCGCAACAUUGACCUGUCCGUAAAUGUUCGCAUUUGGGCAGAGUCCGAGCAAACAGGUAGAGACCCGAAAGAUGGUGAACUUUAUAUGCGCAUGUUGAAGUCAGACGAAAGUCUGAUGGAGGACAGAAGCGGUUCUGACGUGCAAAUCGAUCGUCAGACGUGUAUAAAGGGGCGAAAGACUAAUCGAACCAUCUAGUAGCUGGUUCCCUCCGAAGUUUCCCUCAGGAUAGCAGGCACUUGAUACGCAGUUGUAUCUGGUAAAGCGAAUGAUUAGAAGUAUUUGGAUCAUAAUGGUCUAAACUUAUUCUCAAACUUUAAAUGGGUACGAGGUAUGGCUCUCUUUGUUGGAGUUGUACAUUUUAAUGCAAGUGCCUAGUGGGCCAUUUUUGGUAAGCAGAACUGGCGAUGUGGGAUGAACCAAACAUUCAGUUAAGGUGCCUAAUGUUAUGCUCAUGAGAUACCACAAAAGGUGUUGGUUGAUAAAGACAGCAGGACGGUGGACAUGGAAGUUGUCAUCCGCUAAGGAGUGUGUAACAACUCACCUGCCGAAUCAACCAGCCCUGAAAAUGGAUGGCGCUGUAGCGUAAAACCUAUACUGGAUCGAUAUUGCAAGCUUAGUAGCGAGUAWGUGAUAUCGUGUAGGAGGGUGCUGUUGUUGCGUUGAAGCUACUGGUGUGAAUCAGAGU
RNAcentral lists this ribosomal RNA (1560 nucleotides) under Procerodes dohrni. RNAcentral describes it as "eukaryotic LSU rRNA". It matches the Rfam family "Eukaryotic large subunit ribosomal RNA", at positions 39 to 1428 of the family's 3401-position model. The record is from RNAcentral. Lineage: Eukaryota; Metazoa; Platyhelminthes; Tricladida; Procerodidae.